AAAAUAAUUAUGACGAUAUUCAAGACAAUGAUCAUGUAUAUAGGCAUCACAUCUAAGGUAACUAGACCGACUUCUGCGUGCAUCUACUUCUAUUACUCCACACAUCGACCGCUGUCCAGCAUGCAUCUAGUGUAUUGAGUUCAUGGAGAAACAGAGUAAUGCCUUAAGAACGAUGACAUGAUGUAGACAAGAACUAUUCAUGUAGUAAUAGACCCCAUCCUUUUAUCUUUGAUAGCAACGAUACAUGUGUGUCAUGUCUCUUUCUGUCACUGAGAUUGAGCACCGCAAGAUCGAACCCAUCACAAAGCACCUCUUUCCAUUGCAAGAUAAAAGAUCAAGUUGGCCAGACAAAAACCAAAUAUCGGAGAAGAAAUACGAGGAUAUAAUAAUCAAGCAUGAAUAU
This 403-nucleotide long non-coding RNA is filed under the name Hordeum vulgare. RNAcentral's name for it is "long non-coding RNA (HVUL_LNC003121)". The record is from RNAcentral. Lineage: Eukaryota; Viridiplantae; Streptophyta; Magnoliopsida; Poales; Poaceae.